Molecule: long non-coding RNA, 1927 nt
Filed under: Homo sapiens (human)
Lineage: Eukaryota; Metazoa; Chordata; Mammalia; Primates; Hominidae
Description: non-protein coding lnc-HLA-F-2:1
Source: RNAcentral
GAAGAGGGUAAAUCUUUUAUUUUAGAAAUUAUGCAGCUAGUAUAUGAAAAGAAAUGAAAGACUGAGACUUUUGCAAUUUGUAAUGAAUUAACAGAUUUAGCCACUGAACAGCAAUGGCAAUUAACAUCACAAAAAAGAAAUAACUAGUAUUGAAUUCUUCCUCUUGAUGAAAAACAUGAUAUAGUACCAUCAAUCCUCAUGGCAAAAAAAAAAAAAAAAAAAAAAACCCUGAAUAGACGCAAACCUCUAUAACAAACUACCAAUUUACAGAAAAUACAGGUCAUAGAGAUACAUUAAACCACACCUUGGGGUGCAAUCUGCAAAAUGCAAAGGACAGGAAACUACCAGACAAUAUAAAUUUCAAGCAGGAAUCUAUGGAAUAAAUGAGGAUAAAAAUAUACUCUUAAAGGUAAAACUAAACUAUAACUUUAGAUGAUAAGUGCACAAUUAUAAAUUUGAUUAAAAUAAAAACAAAAGCUUCAGUGAAUAUGCAAGUUUAUGUCUAAUGACAACCGCAUUCAACAAUGAUAUUUAAGGGUUAACUAAAAUGUGAAAAUACUUAAACAUGAAAUAGGCAUGUAUAAAUGUGUUUUUGACACCAAACGUGAACACAAAUGUGAAAUAAUACACCUGUAAACACAUCUCUGGAUAGAUAGCCCACGAUUGAAUUCUCUACCCCACCUCCUUUACUGGUUGACCUGUGAACACAGGCAGGCAGUGGACCAGGACCCAACUAGGUUCCUUCAUCCUCUUGCUUCUAGGCAGGCCUUGCAUCCACUUUUGCUGCACAGAGGGCUCCCAUCCCUGCCUUGGUCCGUUUCACAGGUGAUCCCAUAACUCUCCCUGCCACCACUGUCUACUUAAAGGGUAAAUUUCUAUAGUAUAAAAUUAUGAAGACAUAGUAGAUAUGAGGUAAUGCAUGAGAGUGUGACAGGGUGAGGGGACCUCAAGGUGCCAGGAAAGCUGGUCCUGGGCUCCCCAGAAGGAGCCGUAACCAGGACACUCACUCAUAAAUCUCAUUUAUAAUAAUAAUACAAUGACCGCAUAUGUAAUAUAUUAAAAUAUAAUCAAAUGAUAACAAAAAUAAUGUGGCACAGCUGCAAACCCCUCAUAUAUACUAACGCUUUUCAUCCACCCAACCACAAGAAAUAAAUGCUGUUAGUUUCCCCAUUUCAUAGAUGAGGAAACUGAGGCACCAAGUGGGAAAGUGCUGGUGAGACCUGGGCAGGGAGUUGAAUUCUGGCCAUCUGGCUGCAGAGUGUAGCUGCCCUCAGUGGAGCCAGUAGACCCAGGAGUUGACACCAGAGACUGAAAUCCCAGCUGUGCACUGCCCUGGUGGUCUCCUGUCCCAACCGGGCGUUGAUCCGGGCCUUGCAGGCUCACGUGCUUUUUUUUUUUUUUAACCAGGAACACAUGCACUUUAUUGAAUGCCAUUGUAGAAGAGUGUGUGAGGAUAAAGCGCUGAUACAGAACUCAGCUCUGGGGCCAGGACGAGGAAUGGAAGUUGGAGUAUGUGGAAUACAGGUCAUGGGCAGAGCUCCUGGCCUGGAUGAUGCCUCCUGAUCUAUCGACAGACUUGGAAGAUCAACACUAGGAUGAUGACGGUGAGCAGAAUGGUCAUGAUGAUGCACACAAUCAGGGCUCAGAUGUUCAGGUACUUGGCAGUGGAGGCAUAGGCCUGGGCCCCAGUCAGGUCUCCAACCAUCUUCCUGUCCCUAGACUUCAGGGAGUAGGUGAAUGCUAUGAAUCCCAGGCAGUGGGGGUUCAUGAAGAGGAUGUUGGACAGGGACCAGACAACAUAGUCAGACACGGAGGUCUCGCUGCAGAUAUGGAUCAUGGUGGACAUUGGGGGAGCAGGGUUGUGGGGCGCCCCCAGCACAGCCACCUCAUGCUCCUCCUUGAGCAUCUCAUAGCUGGGGUUGGGGGG